Molecule: long non-coding RNA, 2451 nt
Filed under: Lynx pardinus (Iberian lynx)
Lineage: Eukaryota; Metazoa; Chordata; Mammalia; Carnivora; Felidae
Source: RNAcentral
CGGGAGGAUUGCGUCGGCCGGCAGAGGUGGGUGCUCCACGCGCCCGAGCCGACCCCUUCCCCCCCCACGCUCGGCUCCCGGCUCUGUCCAGCCGCCCCCGACCGCCCAAGGCGACUGGACAGCUCCUCCCGGGCCCCCCGGGGGCUUGUUCUCGUUAACGCCGGCCGUGGGAUCGCGUCUGGGACACAGCCUGGGGGCCGGGACGCCCAGGUCCCGCCGGGGUGCUGGCGCCCCCGCUCCCAUUUCACCCCACGACACGCGUUCCCUCGCCUCCUUCUCACGCACCCCACCCCCAGCUUCCACCACCUUGUAAUCUGUGUGUCCUGCUUUAAUCUUGGCGCGGUGGGGGGGGGGGGGGGAGGGGGCACGGGCACUAACUCCAGGUCACUUUGACCCCACGCCUUAGCACGUAGUAGGCACCCAGGAAUCAAUGUGGAGUGACUCAGAGAGGAAGACUGGGAAGGAGACCUGAGGAGUGCCCCGUCCAGCUCCUUGGACGGACGUAGGACCCAGGAGCAGGGUUUAUCUUCAACUGCUUUGUCACUGCGAAGUCUCCGGCAGGAGUCGGUCAGCGAAUCUACAUCAUCCCGGGGAAGAAUUUGACCCCACCAGACGAGGCAGAAAGAACAGGACUGCCACUUCUUCGGCAGCUCUGCUCGGUUCAGUCUCGGAAUAAGAAAUAACAAUUACAUCACGAGGCCGGGGCGGCAGCGCUGUGGAGCCUCUCGGUUUCCUGCAGCUUAAUCUCGCUGAACCCGCCUCUGAACUGGGGAGGGGGGGAGGCACAUAUGGAUUGGUGGCGAGAGAAAGUAGAGAGAGGAGAGAGUCCUACAAAACCAUAAUCCCCCCUCCUUCUCCUUGCAUUUGCUGUUUUAAAAUCUUAUCCUCAACGCUCCCCCAGACAUCUAACUAGAACUAUUAACACCCCUUCAACACCUCCCCAGAUGUCAGGUUUCUUUUUGACUCUAGCAUCUAGCGUUUAGUAACUCGCCAUGAAAAAAAGUACCGGGGGGAAAUGAGUGCCGUUGCUGAAAUUGUCUUUUGCCUGAUACAAAAACGCUGAAGUACAGCUUAGCCUCACCCUUAACUCGGAAAUGGCAUGCCUGUGUUAAAACACUUAAUACACAAAACAAAUGAGAGGAUGAGGCACUCCAUUCCUAUGUAUAGGUUUUCAAAUCCUUAAGAAUUCGAUAACAUUGGAAAAUAGAGUUGCCAGCACACUUAAGAAAACCACUAUCCUAGUCAUGAAACAGUAGUCUAUGCCUGUUAUGUAAUGGCUGUAUUGUGCAUUUAAAAUGUCUUUUAACCUUUAAAAAUAUGAAUGAGUGUUCUGUAACACCUCCAAAUCUUAAAAGUGAAAGCAAUGCUUAAUAAAUGCACCACCUAGCACAGUGCUGGGCACAUGGUAGGAUCAUUUUGCUUAAUGGUGAUGGUGCAUUUUAGAACAAUUAUUUUACAUCACCCUAGUGAUUCAACUGUGUAAUCUGUUGCCAUCUAACACAGUUUAAACUUCAUGUGGUAGCUUCUUAUGCGUGCAUAUACAACAGUUUGAAAUUUGCUCAAGGCCACUGUGUAAAGUCAGCUAUUCUACAGUACAUCAUUUAUCCACUUGGUGAAAGUGAACUGUUCUAAUUAAGUGAUGAUCAUCAGAAUUGGAAUCUGGCCCUUUAAGGAGUCAAACUUAAAAAACAAACAAAAAACUGUUAAGUGAUAUACACAGAUUUUCUAAAAUGGGUUAUAUAUAUAUAUAUAUAUUUUUUUUUUUUCUUGAGCAAUAUAUUGGACUUUCUUUGGCUUUUUUCUUGGAAAUUCAGGGUUAAUUUUAUUAAAAGUGUUUAUUGCAGUAAGUUGUAGCAGAUUCAACAAAAACAUUCUAUAUCAGGCUUCUUCCUAGUUGUUAAGAGAUGCUCCCAGGAGGUAUAUAAGCUAUCAAUCGCUGCACUGAAGGACUGUAUGACUUAGUGAUUAUCUCUGCUCUUUGUAGUUUCUCGUCCCCUUCACUAACUGACAAUCUGUUGUCCUUUUUCUCUGUUGCCACAGCAUGCUGCCUCCAAUAUUUUCCUCCUCUUCUCAUUGGCAGUGUCUGGUCUAGUGCAGACUGGGAAUCUAGAUAGCCUCACUUGUCACAAUUCAGUAAAGUAAAACUAAGUAGGUCCUAGGUAAGAAACUGAUGUGCUCACCAAGGAGUAAGACACAUGAACCUUAAUGCAUAGACUUAGGGACAGUUAUUCAAACUACUCAAAUGUUGCUUUGAAAAGUAUUCUUUUGGGGUGCCUGGGUGGCUCAGUCGGUUGAGUGUCUGACUUCGGCUCAGGUCAUGACCUCACAGCUCCUGAGUUCGAGCCCCGUGUAGGGCUCUGUGCUGACACUUCGAGCCUGGAGCCUGCUUCAGGUACUGUGUCUCCCUCUCUCUCUGCCCCUAACCCACUCGCAUUCUGUCUCUGUCUCUCU